RNAcentral lists this ribosomal RNA (468 nucleotides) under uncultured bacterium. RNAcentral's name for it is "partial 16S ribosomal RNA". It matches the Rfam family "Bacterial small subunit ribosomal RNA", at positions 28 to 507 of the family's 1533-position model. The record is from RNAcentral.
GACGAACGCUGGCGGCGUGCUUAACACAUGCAAGUCGAACGGAAAGGCCCUGCUUUGGUGGGGUGCUCGAGUGGCGAACGGGGGAGUAACACGUGAGUAACCUGCCCUUGACUUUGGGAUAACUUCAGGAAACUGGGGCUAAUACCGGAUAGGAGCUCCUGCUGCAUGGUGGGGGUGGGAAAGGUUCGGCGGUUGGGGAUGGACUCGCGGCUUAUCAGCUUGUUGGUGGGGUAGUGGAUUACCAAGGCCUUGACGGGUAGCCGGCCUGAGAGGAUGACCGGCCACAUUGGGACUGAGCUACGGCCCAGACUCCUACGGGAGGCAGCAGUGGGGAAUAUUGCACAAUGGGCGGAAGCCUGAUGCAGCAACGCCGCGUGCGGGAUGACGGCCAUCGGGUUGUAAACCGCAUUCGCCUGUGACGAAGCGUGAGUGACGGUAAUGGGUAAAGAAGCACCGGCUAACUACGUG